This 301-nucleotide ribosomal RNA is filed under the name uncultured bacterium. RNAcentral's name for it is "partial 16S ribosomal RNA". It matches the Rfam family "Bacterial small subunit ribosomal RNA", at positions 509 to 807 of the family's 1533-position model. The record is from RNAcentral.
CAGCCGCCACGGGAACACGAGGGGAGCUAGCGUUGUUCGGAAUUACUGGGCGUAAAGCGCACGUAGGCGGACUUUUAAGUCAGGGGUGAAAUCCCGGGGCUCAACCCCGGAACUGCCUUUGAUACUGGGGGUCUUGAGUUCGAGAGAGGUGAGUGGAAUUGCGAGUGUAGAGGUGAAAUUCGUAGAUAUUCGCAGGAACACCAGUGGCGAAGGCGGCUCACUGGCUCGAUACUGACGCUGAGGUGCGAAAGCGUGGGAAGCAAACAGGAUUAGAUACCCGUGUAGUCCCUGUCUCUUAUAC